AGUGGCGGACGGGUGAGUAACGCGUGAGAAUCUGCCUUGGGGUCGGGGACAACCACUGGAAACGGUGGCUAAUACCGGAUAAGCCGAUUGGUGAAAGAUUUAUUGCCCGAAGAGGAGCUCGCGUCUGAUUAGCUAGUUGGUGAGGUAAGAGCUCACCAAGGCAGCGAUCAGUAGCUGGUCUGAGAGGACGAUCAGCCACACUGGGACUGAGACACGGCCCAGACUCCUACGGGAGGCAGCAGUGGGGAAUUUUCCGCAAUGGGCGAAAGCCUGACGGAGCAAGACCGCGUGAGGGAGGAAGGCUCUUGGGUUGUAAACCUCUUUUCUCAGGGAAGAAGCUCUGACGGUACCUGAGGAAUCAGCCUCGGCUAACUCCGUGCCAGCAGCCGCGGUAAUACGGAGGAGGCAAGCGUUAUCCGGAAUUAUUGGGCGUAAAGCGUCCGCAGGUGGCGAUUCAAGUCUGCUGUCAAAGCACGGGGCUUAACUCCGUAAAGGCAGUGGAAACUGAAUAGCUAGAGUGCCGUAGGGGUAGAGGGAAUUCCCGGUGUAGCGGUGAAAUGCGUAGAGAUCGGGAAGAACAUCGGCGGCGAAAGCGCUCUACUGGACGGCAACUGACACUCAGGGACGAAAGCUAGGGGAGCGAAUGGGAUUAGAUACCCC
RNAcentral lists this ribosomal RNA (660 nucleotides) under uncultured bacterium. Its description in RNAcentral is "bacterial SSU rRNA". It matches the Rfam family "Bacterial small subunit ribosomal RNA", at positions 94 to 788 of the family's 1533-position model. The record is from RNAcentral.